CCACACCGACAACACACUGUCCCACCGACAACACACUGUCCCACCAACAACACACUGUUCCACCAACAACACACUGUUCCACCAACACACUGUUCCACCGACAACACACUGUUCCACCGACAACACACUGUCCCACCGACAACACACUGUCCCACCGACAACACACUGUUCCACCGACAACACACUGUCCCACCGACAACACACUGUUCCACCGACAACACACUGUACCACCGACAACACACUGUCCCACCGACAACACACUGUUCCACCGACAACACACUGUUCCACCGACAACACACUGUCCCACCGACAACACACUGUUCCACCGACAACACACUGUCCCACCGACAACACACUGUUCCACCGACAACACACUGUUCCACCGACAACACACUGUUCCACCACCAACACACUGUCCCACCGACAACACACUGUUCCACCGACAACACACUGUCCCACCGACAACACACUGUCCCACCGACAACACACUGUUCCACCGACAACACACUGUUCCACCGACAACACACUGUUCCACCGACAACACACUGUCCCACCGACAACACACUGUUCCACCGACAACACACUGUUCCACCGACAACACACUGUACAACACACUGUCCCACCGACAACACACUGUUCCACCGACAACACACUGUUCCACCAACAACACACUGUCCCACCGACAACACACUGUUCCACCAACAACACACUGUUCCACCAACACACUGUUCCACCAACAACACACUGUCCCACCGACAACACACUGUUCCACCAACAACACACUGUUCCACCAACACACUGUUCCACCAACAACACACUGUUCCACCAACAACACACUGUUCCACCAACACACUGUUCCACCAACAACACACUGUUCCACCAAUAUACUGUUCCACCGACAACACACUGUUCCACCAACACACUGUUCCACCGACAACACACUGUUCCACCAACACACUGUUCCACCAACAACACACUGUUCCACCAACACACUGUUCCACCAACAACACACUGUCCCACCGACAACACACUGUUCCACCAACAACACACUGUUCCACCAACACACUGUUCCACCGACAACACACUGUCCCACCGACAACACACUGUUCCACCGACAACACACUGUUCCACCGACAACACACUGUCCCACCGACAACACACUGUUCCACCGACAACACACUGUACCACCGACAACACACUGUCCCACCGACAACACACUGUCCCACCGACAACACACUGUUCCACCGACAACACACUGUUCCACCGACAACACACUGUCCCACCGACAACACACUGUUCCAUGUUCCACCGACAACACACUGUCCCACCGACAACACACUGUUCCACCGACAACACACUGUUCCACCGACAACACACUGUUCCACCGACAACACACUGUACAACACACUGUCCCACCGACAACACACUGUUCCACCGACAACACACUGUUCCACCAACAACACACUGUUCCACCAACAACACACUGUCCCACCGACAACACACUGUUCCACCGACAACACACUGUUCCACCAACAACACACUGUCCCACCGACAACACACUGUUCCACCAACAACACACUGUUCCACCAACACACUGUUCCACCAACAACACACUGUUCCACCAACAACACACUGUUCCACCAACACACUGUUCCACCAACAACACACUGUUCCACCAAUAUACUGUUCCACCGACAACACACUGUUCCACCAACACACUGUUCCACCGACAACACACUGUUCCACCAACAACACACUGUUCCACCGACAACACACUGUUCCACCAACACACUGUUCCACCAACACACUGUUCCACCAACAACACACUGUUCCACCAACACACUGUUCCACCAACAACACACUGUUCCACCAACAACACACUGUUCCACCACCAACACACUGUUCACCAACACACUGUUCCACCAACAACACACUGUUCCACCAACAACACACUGUUCCACCAACAACACACUGUUCCACCAACAACACACUGUUCCACCAACACACUGUUCCACCAACAACACACUGUUCCACCAACAACACACUGUUCCACUAACAACACACUGUUCCACCAACAACACACUGUUCCACCAACACACUGUUCCACCAACAUACUGUUCCACCAACAACACACUGUUCCACCAACACACUGUUCCACCACCACACUGUUCCACUAACAACACACUGUUCCACCAACAACACACUGUUCCACCAACACACUGUUCCACCAACACACUGUUCCACCAACAACACACUGUUCCACCAACACACUGUUCCACCAACAACAUACUGUUCCACCAACAACACACUGUUCCACUAACAACACACUGUUCCACCAACACACUGUUCCACCAACAUACUGUUCCACCAACAACACACUGUUCCACCAACACACUGUUCCACCACCACACUGUUCCACUAACAACACACUGUUCCACCAACAACACACUGUUCCACCAACACACUGUUCCACCAACACACUGUUCCACCAACAACACACUGUUCCACCAACACACUGUUCCACCAACAACAUACUGUUCCACCAACAACACACUGUUCCACUAACAACACACUGUUCCACCAACACACUGUUCCACCAACACACUGUUCCACCAACAACACACUGUUCCACCAACACACUGUUCCACCAACAUACUGUUCCACCAACAACACACUGUUCCACCAACACACUGUUCCACCAACAACACACUGUUCCACCAACACACUGUUCCACCAACAUACUGUUCCACCAACAACACACUGUUCCACCAACACACUGUUCCACCAACACACUGUUCCACCAACAACACACUGUUCCACCAACACACUGUUCCACCAACACACUGUUCCACCAACAACACACUGUUCCACCACUGUGUGCAGUUAUCACUU
RNAcentral lists this long non-coding RNA (2892 nucleotides) under Cottoperca gobio. RNAcentral describes it as "lncRNA (ENSCGOG00000012969.1)". The record is from RNAcentral. Lineage: Eukaryota; Metazoa; Chordata; Actinopteri; Perciformes; Bovichtidae.